RNAcentral lists this long non-coding RNA (1095 nucleotides) under Chloebia gouldiae (Gouldian finch). Its description in RNAcentral is "Erythrura gouldiae (Gouldian finch) lncRNA (ENSEGOG00005018574.1)". The record is from RNAcentral. Lineage: Eukaryota; Metazoa; Chordata; Aves; Passeriformes; Passeridae.
AUGGGAAAUUCAGGAAUGCAGAUCGGCCACAGAGAAAGGAACGGGAAAUUUGGGAAUGCGGGAUCGGCCCCGGGAUGGGAAAUUCGGGGAUGUGGGAUCAGCCCCAGAGAGAGGAAUGGGAAACUUGGGAGAGAGGAGCGGGAAAUGUGGGAAUUCCGGAGCUUUCCCGGGAUCGGGGAGAGCCCCGGACCCAGCGGGAUCAGGAGGGGAAUGGGGGUGGGAAACCCCAAAUCCAUCGGGAUUGGGACAGGAGAGAGGGAAAAGCCCAAAUCCAUCGGGAUGGGAAUGAGAAACCCCAAAUCCAUCGGGAUCAGGUUGGGAAUGAGAAAUCCCAAAUCUAUCGGGAUGGGAAUGAGGAAAAACCCGAAAUCCAUCUGGAUCAGGAGAGAGGGAAAACCCCAAAUCCUUCGGGAUGGGAAUGAGAAACCCCAAAUCCAUCGGGAUCAGGUUGGGAAUGAGAAAUCCCAAAUCCAUCGGGAUGGGAACAGGAGAGAGGGAAAAUCCCAAAUCCAUCGGGAUGGGAAUGAGGAAAAACCGCAAAUCCAUUGGGAUGGGAAUGGGGAAAAACCCCAAAUCCAUCGGGAUCAGGUUGGGAAUGAGGAAACCGCAAAUCCAUCGGGAUGGGAAUGGGGAAACCCCAAAUCCAUCAGGAUCGGGACGGGAACAGAGGGAAAAUCCCGGGAUCGGGGUCGGGAUCGGGGUCAGGGUCGGGAUCCGGAGCAGCUUGGGAAGAUCUCAAAUCCCUCGGAGCGCCGGGGCCGGGAGCCGCAGCCGCCUCCUUCCCCCCUUUUCCCCCAAAUCCCCCCGGAGCGAAAUUCCCGGGAUCGUUCCCGGGGUUGUUCCCAAAAUUCCGCCCCAAAAAUUCCCCCAGAAAGGGCAAAAACCCCAAAAUUCCCCCUCACCCCUUUAUUAUUUUUUUUUUUACAAAUUUUGGAGGUUUUGGAGCCACCCCAAAUUCUCUCUCCAAGAGCAGAAUUCCCAAAAUCCCAAAUUUCUGAGAGGAGAAAUCCCAGAAUUCCCAAAAUCCCCAAAUUUCUGAGGAGAAUUCCCAAAAAUCCCAAAAUUCCUGAAUUUCCAAGUGAAGAAUUCCCAUAA